CGGUCUUUUCUGCUUUAGCCAAUCGUUGAGCACUGACUGAAACGGGGAUUCCCUCCGGUCGAGUGGAAGACGAACGUUUUUCUGGUUAAGGGCUGGCACUGCUGGCAGGCGAUCUCCCCGCUCCGGGCGUGAGGGAUGAGGGGUUCGGAGCUGCUGGCAGUGGCACAUGACUCUUGCAGCGGCCAGCGUAUGGACCUGAGUGCAGUUCAUGUGCGACCCCUGGAGAGGCUGGGGGCACCUGGGGCGCUGGAUGAACAGAGAUCAGUGCGCUUCAGUGGGGAUGGCGGAUGGCAUCUGGGUCCCCAAGGCCACCACAAGGUACAGACCUCAGGCACAGCAGAAAAGAGAUGCACGCACCCACGGCUUCCUUUAAAGAAUGUUAG
Molecule: long non-coding RNA, 383 nt
Filed under: Lepisosteus oculatus (spotted gar)
Lineage: Eukaryota; Metazoa; Chordata; Actinopteri; Semionotiformes; Lepisosteidae
Description: lncRNA (ENSLOCG00000021548.1)
Source: RNAcentral